AAAUUAGAAAAUAAUAAUUUGAAAGAAAAAUAAAUUGUUAAUUUUUUAUCAAAAUCAAGAAGAAUUAUUUCAAUAAAUUGUUUUUUUAGCUUGUUUUGGCUAAGUAGUUAAAAACUGCUUAUUUUUAGAAAUUUAAUCAGACUAUGUAGCUCCGCUACUAUUUUCAUUAUUGUGAAAUAUAACGGAGCUUCAUUGAAGAAUUAUACUGUAUAAAUAAUAAUUAUUGAAUCUACUUGACACAAGAUUAA
RNAcentral lists this unclassified non-coding RNA (248 nucleotides) under Hevea brasiliensis (rubber tree). Lineage: Eukaryota; Viridiplantae; Streptophyta; Magnoliopsida; Malpighiales; Euphorbiaceae. The record is from RNAcentral.